Molecule: ribosomal RNA, 440 nt
Filed under: uncultured bacterium
Lineage: Bacteria
Description: partial 16S ribosomal RNA
Rfam family: Bacterial small subunit ribosomal RNA
Source: RNAcentral
CCUACGGGAGGCAGCAGUGGGGAAUAUUGCACAAUGGGGGAAACCCUGAUGCAGCGACGCCGCGUGAGUGAAGAAGUAAUUCGUUAUGUAAAGCUCUAUCAGCAGGGAAGAAAAUGACGGUACCUGAGCAAGAAGCGCCGGCUAACUACGUGCCAGCGGCCGCGGUAAUACGUAGGGGGCAAGCGUAAUCCGGAUUUACUGGUUGUAAAGGGAGGGUAGGCGGGAGUGCAAGUCUGGAGUGAAAGGCGGGGGCUCACGCCCCGGACUGCUCUGGAAACUGUACGGCUGGAGUGCAGGAGAGGUAAGUGGAAUUCGUGGUGUAGCGGUGAAAUGCGUAGAUAUUAGGAAGAACACCAGUGGCGAAGGCAGCUUACUGGACUGUAACUGACGUUGAGGCUCGAAAGCGUGGGGAGCAAACAGGAUUAGAUACCCUAGUAGUC